GUAGCUCAGUGGUAGAGCACUUGCCUAGCAUGCAGGAGGCCUUGGAUUCAAUUCCCUGC
Molecule: transfer RNA, 59 nt
Filed under: Fukomys damarensis (Damara mole-rat)
Lineage: Eukaryota; Metazoa; Chordata; Mammalia; Rodentia; Bathyergidae
Rfam family: tRNA
About the family: Transfer RNA (tRNA) molecules are approximately 80 nucleotides in length. Their secondary structure includes four short double-helical elements and three loops (D, anti-codon, and T loops).
Source: Rfam by way of RNAcentral